CGGGAUAGCUCAGCUGGUA
Molecule: transfer RNA, 19 nt
Filed under: Rafnia inaequalis
Lineage: Eukaryota; Viridiplantae; Streptophyta; Magnoliopsida; Fabales; Fabaceae
Description: partial transfer RNA-Phe
Source: RNAcentral